GCUGUACAGACUGCUGCCCUGUGGGCUGGCUAGGUUGCUCUCUGCCACCAACCACUGCCAAACGCUGUGGACUAACUGAACGCCUGUGUUACCUGCUGGUCAAAGAUAGUUACUGCAUCUGGAGUAGAAAUCAGGUCCAGGGACCUGUUACUCCUCUGGCGUCCUACAUGUCAACUGCUCACCGUGUCACAGAAAAGAGAAGAGAAGAGAAGAGAAGAGAAGAGAAGAGAAGAGAAGAGAAGAGCGACAAGUACUCUGGUUUUAUCUGACUUGUUCCUUUUCCCCAUCUCCCUUGUCCUCUGUCUCCUGUCUUUGUCUGUUAUUCCCUGCCCAUUGUUCCUCUGGGACAGAUAAAUAUCCUUUGUGCUGAGAACUUGGUCUUGAGGUGUCUUGUACAAAUACAGACCCCUUCAAAUGUCCUAACAUUUUGUAAAAAGUGAUGAGCACUAAGGAAGAAUGCUUGCCUAUCAUGGAUCAGUACUGUGAAAAAGAAAUUGGGGAUAGGGGUUUCAAGACAAGGUUUCUCUGAGUAGCCCUGGCUGUCCUGGAACUCACUCUGUAGACAAGGCUGGCCUCAACUCAGAUCUGCCUGCCUCUGCCUCCCAAAUGCUAGAAUUACAGGCAUGUACCACCCCUACCUGGCUAAUACUGUAAAUUUUUUUUAAUGAAAAUUUAAAUAUGUAUGUUUAAACCUUUUUAUACAGUUAGGAAAUAGAAUCAUCCUUAAGUUUAUUUUAAACAAUUAUCUAGCAUUAACAAUAAUAAAGUUCAUGCUAUUAAGGUUGUUCCAGAAAAUCCAGGUCGUUCAACGUUUGGUUCUUUGACGUUUAUUUUGUUUCCAUGAUUUCCAGGUGUAAAACACCUGGAAGCUCAGGCCUCCAGGGUCUCAGCCCAGGACCCCAAUCACCAGGCGGAUUUGAAAGCUUGAUGCAAACUG
Non-coding RNA from Cricetulus griseus (Chinese hamster), 937 nucleotides. Lineage: Eukaryota; Metazoa; Chordata; Mammalia; Rodentia; Cricetidae. The record is from RefSeq and is a predicted model, not a curated record.